RNAcentral lists this ribosomal RNA (316 nucleotides) under uncultured Suttonella sp. RNAcentral describes it as "bacterial SSU rRNA". It matches the Rfam family "Bacterial small subunit ribosomal RNA", at positions 771 to 1086 of the family's 1533-position model. Lineage: Bacteria; Pseudomonadati; Pseudomonadota; Gammaproteobacteria; Cardiobacteriales; Cardiobacteriaceae. The record is from RNAcentral.
AACAGGAUUAGAUACCCGGGUAGUCCACGCCCUAAACGAUGUCAACUAGGUGUUGGGGACCUUGAGUUCUCGGUACCGGAGCUAACGCAUUAAGUUGACCGCCUGGGGAGUACGGCCGCAAGGUUGAAACUCAAAGAAAUUGACGGGGACCCGCACAAGCGGUGGAGCAUGUGGUUUAAUUCGAUGCAACGCGAAGAACCUUACCAGGCCUUGACAUCCAGAGGACAAAGCAGAGAUGCAUUGGUGCCUUCGGGAACUCUGAGACAGGUGUUGCAUGGCUGUCGUCAGCUCGUGUCGUGAGAUGNUGGGUUAAGUC